CCGUGCUAGGUGUGGAAUUAGCGGUGCCCUGCACUCGCAAUCCGCUCCAGCGAGACCGAACGCCCGCCUGAGGGUCUCUUGCCUUCGGGGUCAGUACGCCGCGGGCGGCGUUGACGGCCAGGUCCCGCGCAAUGACGGCCCGCGAAUCAGGUCAGGUCCGGAAGGAAGCAGCCUUAAGCGGUAUCCGGCAUGUGCCGCGGAGCAGCCUGGCCCGAGCAAGCCACGGCGGGCACGCCCGAGAGACAUCACUCGACGGCGGGCCCGCACGG
RNAcentral lists this signal recognition particle RNA (269 nucleotides) under Solirubrobacterales bacterium. RNAcentral describes it as "signal recognition particle sRNA large type". It matches the Rfam family "Bacterial large signal recognition particle RNA". From Rfam's summary of the family: The signal recognition particle (SRP) is a universally conserved ribonucleoprotein involved in the co-translational targeting of proteins to membranes. The record is from RNAcentral. Lineage: Bacteria; Bacillati; Actinomycetota; Thermoleophilia; Solirubrobacterales.